GGGGAGCUCAUGUCUCAGGCGGGAAGAGAGGUCCUUAUAAAGGCCGUAGCACAAGCCCUUCCGACGUUCCUUAUGAGCAUUUUCAAGUUCCCAAGAAGCACAUGCGAUGACCUUGCACGCAUGAUCCAUAGCUACUGGUGGGGCGCAUACAGAGGGAAGAGGAAGACGCACUGGAAGGCUUGGGAUCACUUGCUGCGGCCAAAAGCUGCUGGUGGGAUGGGUUUCAAGGAUUUUAGGAUGUUCAAUCAAGCCUUGUUGGCAAGGCAAGCUUGGAGAUUGCUGGUCAACCCUGAGAGUCUCUGUGCAAGAGUCUUGAAAGCACAUUACUAUCCCAAUGGACGGCUAGAGGACACGGUUUUCUCCACAAAUGCAUCACAAACUUGGCAGUCCAUCGUCCAUGGGUUGGAGCUUUUGAAACAAGGCCUGAUUUGGCGUAUUGGUAAUGGCAGAUCG
RNAcentral lists this ribosomal RNA (453 nucleotides) under Triticum aestivum (bread wheat). RNAcentral describes it as "partial small subunit ribosomal RNA". The record is from RNAcentral. Lineage: Eukaryota; Viridiplantae; Streptophyta; Magnoliopsida; Poales; Poaceae.